AUUGAACGCUGGCGGCAGGCCUAACACAUGCAAGUCGAGCGGUAGAGCGAAGCCUGCUUCUCUUGAGAGCGGCGGACGGGUGAGUAAUGCCCAGGAAUCUGCCUGGUCGUGGGGGAUAACGUUCGGAAACGGACGCUAAUACCGCAUACGGCCUACGGGAGAAAGCAGGGGACCUUCGGGCCUUGCGCUAUCAGAUGAGCCUAGGUCGGAUUAGCUAGUUGGUGGGGUAAUGGCUCACCAAGGCGGCGAUCCGUAACUGGUCUGAGAGGAUGAUCAGUCACACUGGAACUGAGACACGGUCCAGACCCCGACGGAAGGCAGCGUUGGGGAAUAUUGGACAAUGGGCGAAAGCCUGAGCCAGCCAUGCCGCGUGGGUGAAGAAGGUCUUCGGAUUGUAAAGCACUUUAAGUUGGGAGGAAGGGCAGUAAAUUAACACUUUGCUGUUUGGACGUGACCGACAGAAUAGGCACCGGCAAACUCGGG
This 483-nucleotide ribosomal RNA is filed under the name uncultured bacterium. RNAcentral describes it as "partial 16S ribosomal RNA". It matches the Rfam family "Bacterial small subunit ribosomal RNA", at positions 30 to 506 of the family's 1533-position model. The record is from RNAcentral.